This 253-nucleotide ribosomal RNA is filed under the name uncultured bacterium. Its description in RNAcentral is "partial 16S ribosomal RNA". It matches the Rfam family "Bacterial small subunit ribosomal RNA", at positions 524 to 776 of the family's 1533-position model. The record is from RNAcentral.
UACGAAGGGGGCUAGCGUUGUUCGGAAUCACUGGGCGUAAAGGGCGCGUAGGCGGCUUUAUAAGUCGGGGGUGAAAGCCUGUGGCUCAACCACAGAAUUGCCUUCGAUACUGUAUGGCUUGAGACCGGAAUAGGUAAGUGGAACUGCGAGUGUAGAGGUGAAAUUCGUAGAUAUUCGCAAGAACACCAGUGGCGAAGGCGGCUUACUGGUCCGGUUCUGACGCUGAGGCGCGAAAGCGUGGGGAGCAAACAGG